This is a long non-coding RNA of Rosa rugosa (rugosa rose), 5680 nucleotides long. RefSeq lists it as uncharacterized. The record is from RefSeq and is a predicted model, not a curated record. The transcript is spliced from 2 exons. Lineage: Eukaryota; Viridiplantae; Streptophyta; Magnoliopsida; Rosales; Rosaceae.
AAUAAAUAAAUAAAAAAAAAAAUAAUAAUAAUAAUAAUAAUAAUAAUACUCUAUACUAAGCCAUGUCUGCAUCUCUGUAGGAGUUGAGGCUGAGCUCAAGGGAAAUGUGAGAGCCACCGCCAUAACCGCUACCUCUCUCGGAAGUAGUCUUCAUGAUGCCCAAGAUGUCCUCACCAUGCAUGGGGAACAAUGGAAGGGUUUCAAUCUCCUGGUGAUCUCCUCCUCGUUGUUGCAGGGAUGUUUGUCCUCCUGUUGUGCCAAAAGAGUUGUACUGGUAUUAGUGUUGAAGUGUGAGGAAGAAUAUGAAACAAAAUUUAAAUCAAGAAAUCCUUCAUUACCAGUAGAAUCGGUGGAACCAAAGUUGAGAUUAAUGGAUCUACCAUCAUCAGUAGAACUAGUGGACCCAAAAUUGAUGUCAAUGGAUCCACCAGCUGGCCCAAAAUUGAUGUCGAUGGACACCAGCACCAGUAGAACCAGCUGGCCCAAAAUUGAGAUCAAUGGAUCCACCAGUACCAGGAGAACUAGUUCCCAUGGGCACUUGAGCAGCCUGAUUGCACCUCUUCAUCUGCUUCUCUCGAGCCCUGACAUUCUGGAACCAAAAAUAAAUGUUCUUGCCCUCAACAUGUCCAUACUGGUUCAGCUGGAGACAGAUCUCGUGAAUAUGCUCUGUAGUUGGGCGCGUAACUCCCUUGUUGUAGUAAAGAUCCUUGAGGAUCCUUAUUUGAUCUGGAGUAGGAACCCACCUGGCACGGCUUCGCCAGAAAUCUGUGUUGGCACUACUCCCGGCUGCUUGGUUGUUUCCUCCAUCCUCGAUUUGUUGCUGGGUUUGUAGCUCCAUCAGUUGCAGAGUUCGUGGUUCCAUGGUGAUGGGUUGAGGGGAUGUGAAGAUCGAAGAGUAAAGUUGUCAAGUGUUUGAAGGAGUUGUUGUUAAAGGGAUUAAGGAUGAUGAUGGUGUGUUGGAGAUCUGAAAGUUCAGAGGAAAGAUGGGAUUGAAUCAACUAGAUGGGAGAGAAGAUCAGAAGAGAAGGAUUGAAUCGAAGAAGAAAUAUUUUGAGUUUUGAAAGAAGAGGAAAAGCUGAAGAGUUGGGAGAGAGGGGCUGGAACUCAGGAGAGAUUUUCGUUCCUUUGGAGUGAACAGUUGCGCCCUCAGAAUGCACCUAUUUAUAGAGCGAGGUGAGCAGAUCUCCACCGUUGGAUGGACGAUUCCUGUGAUUCAUUCUACGCGUUGGAUUAAAGUCGCCCUGAAACCCGGAAAAGUUGUUGGCGCGUGGAGAGCGUGUAAGGGGACCGAGGGAAUCUCGAGGCGCUGUGGCAGACAGCUGUAGCCGAAAGCAGAUUUGACUGCCGUAAAUCACGGAAGGGAUAAGCCGUGACACAAGUGGGCCGUACUUGGGCCUGUCUCGGAUCAAGGCAUCACUGUAGCUGUGGGUGGAGGCCUGAUGGGCCGAGUUUCAGAAACAGUUUUGGACAUGAUGGGCCGAGUUUCUGAAACAGUUUUGGAUGAGUUGGGCUGGGUUUCUGCAACAGUCUUGGAUGUUUUGUGCCGAAUUGUUGAAACAGUUGAAACAGUUGGUUUAAAUAAAAGGAUUGGUAUGGAUAAUAACGUGAGCAGCCGUGCUCGAGUGGUUGAGUGUAAAGUUCGUGUACAAGAGGUCUGAGGUUCGAACCUCGCCUCUCGUUUAUUUUUAUUAUGUUCGUUUAUGACAUAAUAAGUAUAAAAUUUGUACACAUUAUAUUAAGCACAGCUUGUGCUCCAGUGGUUGGGGACAAAGGUUUCGUGUAGCAGGUUAAGGUUUCGAACCUUGCCUCCCCCGUUUUUUUUUAUUUAUGUCACUCCAUCAGAACCCUCCUCCGAAGGCUGAAACCAGCAAGAAGGCUGCCACUCGCCCGCAUACCGCUCCUCCAAAGGAGUAAAUGGAGGUACAAGUCUAGGCUGAAAGACUUUAAACAUUAAGCGCUGCAUGGGAGGCAACCCAUUUCAACCGUAGCUGUGGAGGAGCCAUCAACGCAGAUUUGCUCUCUUAAACUCUAUCUCCUCUAUUACUAUUUUCUGAUUGUAUCUUUGUUAUUUGCGUUUUUAGUUUUUGUUUUUAGGUUUUCUUGAGUUAAUCAUUCCAUUUACAUGAUAAUUGUUCAUUGCAUGCUCUAACUUGUUUAACAUUGAGGACAAUGUAUGAUUUAAGUGUGGGGGGAAGGAUUAAUGCUUGUAGUUAGUUUUUGUCAUAAAAAGAAAACAAAACAAAAAAAUCGAAAAAUGUCAGAAAUAUAAAAAAUUUCGUUGCUUUUGUUUUUGUUUUGAGUCUUAGGAUGCCUUUCAACUGUCUGGGAUGAUUCUAUAUCUCUGAAAUCAUGACUAAAAGAGGAUCACAACAUUGAGAUGAUUUUAAACAUGGUAUUCUUUGGUUAAUUGAGAUAUAUGAAAAAUGUGUGCCUUGUAGUGGAUAUGGAUUGCAUGACCUUGGUACAGAAUAUGAGCAUGUUAAGAUGAGUUGUGAUUCAUAAAGCCAUGUGAGAUAAUUGAACCAUGUCCCUUUUUCUUGGAGUGAAAUGAAAAAUAUAUUCUUAAUUUCUUGGCGAUGUUUUGAUGAUCUCAUUAUUCUUUCAUCUUGAUUGACUGCUUGCCAUAGAUUAAGUUUAAUGGACUAGAGAAUGCUAGAAUUCGCUCUUGUGCUUGUUGAGACGUGAUAUCAAUACAUGGCCCUGAUUCUGGAAGGGAUAGAGGUUCUCUAGGAAUUACCACCAUUGCCAAAUAAACUUGUGUCCCCAUUUGUGCCCGUCGUGGGACCCCCCUAGAUAAGCCCCUUUGAGCCUACAUUAAGCCUUUUCGUUCAUCACCCUUAAAAUCCUUAACCAUGAAGCUUAGUAUAGUUACAACCCUACCCUUUGUUCUAAGGACUUAGUGGAGCUAUCUUUUGAGACAUACUACAUGGGUUUGGUGCUAAGGAUGAAGAUUAAGAAGAGGUGAAAGUUCAAGUGUGGGGAUAGACUUGUCCAUAAAGAAAAAGAUAUGUUGAAGCCGUGAAAAAUGAAAAGAAAAGAGAAAAAUUGUGUACGGCUAAAAAGAGAAAAAGAAAAAAAAUAUAUAUGUUUAUGGACUUUCAUCCCCCAUACUUAGUGAUUUUGGAGUUUGCUUUGAAUUGAAGGCCCACUACAGAAAAAUUUGGCCUUUGUCCAUUUCACUAGAGUUCAAGGGAAGUUUAUAUUGAAGAUUGGGCCCAACAUGAAGACAUUUGGCCCUCUUAUAUUACCUCUAUGGAGAAGUGACGUUUUUGCAAUGCCUUGGUGAAAUAUUUCGAGAUCUCUACAUUCAUAUGAGCUCUACUAGGUUUUUAGGACACUUUGAUAAUCCUUACCUUUCAUUUCUUUAAACCUUGAGCCUUAGCCCCAUUACAACCUUUGAGAGGACCUUCUUGAUCCUUAAGAUGGGACAGCAUUUGAUGUGGAGAUGAGUUACAAGAGUUGAACCUAUGGCUUGGGUCCAUUCGUGCAAGUAGUUGAUAUCCUUCAUGAGAUCUUUUGAAAAAAAUUAUAUUCACAAAGUGCUUUUCGUUUCUUAUAUAUGUGAGCUAUUUGACUGCCUUAAAAUAUGUUCUCUCACAUAUAAAUGAGUGAUUAUAAGCUUUUAAGCAUUGCCUUGAUCUGAGAGAAGAAAGAGUGGAUAUACCUUGUGAGGAUAUGAAUCAUACUUGUCUGAAGCAUGCUAAGCUAAACCCCAAUCACCAUUAUUACAACCAAGUCCUACUUGUGUAUGUGUGGAUCAUAUGUUUUAAUUAACUCUCGAAUGCUUAACAUUGAUUCUUGAUUGAGUGCUAAUCUUGGUGUUGUGAAAGUAUGAGAUUUCUGAGACAAUAUGUUAAAGGGCAAUAGAGGUCUUUGUAAUGUCAACAUCUUGGUCUUUGUCUUUGAAUUUACUCUUUUAUGUGUGACGUUUUUUGUUUUCUUUGUGUUUUGCUUUGUGUUUUACGUUUUUGGUUUCUUUGAGUCUUUGUGUUUUUGUUUCCAUACUUAGUCAUUUUUUUCGUUGGUUUCUUUGUUUUGUGUCAUAGUCUUUUUGGUUUGUUAGUUUUUGAUUUUGCUAAGGGACUAGCAAAAGCUAAGUGUGGGGGAAUUUGAUAGCAGCAUUUUAAUGUGGUAUUUUAAUUGUUAAUUCCUCACAUUUUGCUUAGUUAAUUCCUUAACGAAUAGAUUUUUAACUUAAUUUCUAUUUUUUUAGGUACAUUGGAGUAGAUGAUGAUGAAAUGAGCAUUAGGUCCAUAAUUACCUAUAAAUGAUGGAGAAAAAUGGAAAUGUACUAAAAGGUCAAUUUUACACAUUUUCCUACUCCGGCUAGGAGAAACCAAGCCAAGCAAGGAAGAAGGAGCGGCCGCCUGAUCAAAUGAACUCCAAAUGAGCUGAAACUUUCCAGAUCCAUUCUAGACAUCCUAAGGAUCGUUUCUUAUGAAGAGUGCCAGAGCUAGAAUUGAGCGGAAGGCCUUCAAACAGUCAGCCCAAUUUCCUGCAGAAGCAAAACUGGAAAACUGGACCUGUAAGAGGUCCAGCAGCAUUUUCGGCCCAACCACAUGGAAUAAAAAUCUGAAAUUUUACCAGGGUGAUCUACACUCAUAAUGGAACAUUUUUUAUGAAGAGGUCAUAGUGAAAUUGGGAAUGCUUGUUGGAGAAAUAAUUGAAGGAAUAAAGGGGCAGAAACUGAUCUAAAAACAGCUCAACACCACAUGUUCAAGUUUCCUACCCACAUGAAGAAAGCUAGAUGCUUUUCUCUUUUUCCUUGGAUAUAUUUUUCUGCUCCAAUAGAUCAUCAUCACUUCCAUACUUCUACACCUUCAUGCCUUGCUUUCAUUUCAUCAUUACUCCAUCUUUUCCAUAUUUUACAAACCACUUUCAUUAUUUUUCUUCCAUUUAUCAUUUCACUCUUCUUUUUCUUCCCUAUAUAAACACCUUCUCCUCUCACUCUAAAAAUAUUCCUUCAUCCAUUUCAUCUUCUUUGUCUCUCCAUUUCCAUUCCAUUUUUCUCUCCAUUCUCUAGUUGCAAAAUUCUGCGUUUUCAAGUAAGAAGAAGAAGAAGAAGAAGGAGCCGGGAAUAUCAUAUCCUCCAUCGUCCACCUUGAAGGCUUGCUUCCAAGAUUCAAGAUUUCAACGUUUCAAGCACUCCAUCUCCAUCUCCAACUCACGGUGUGUACCCUCAAUCCCCGGAAUAGAACGAUCCCUAUUUGCUUAUACUACUAACGAUGUUUUCAGGGUUAAAUUAUGCGCUUGCUUUGAGCGUAUCAGUUACCCUUGCUUGGCUGGUUCUGUAACCGUUGUGGUCGCGGCACUACCGUCGGCUCCCGAGGAGACUAGGACCGAAGCACGUUGACAGAGGGUUUGGUGGCACUGAAAGUCGGCUUAUGAGAAGACUAGGACUAGGAGUGUGAUCACCGCUAAGAGAAAGAGAAAGAGAGGGAGAGGAGUUGCUCUUAGAGAGGUUUGCUCUAGAGAGAACUUAGAUCAUCUUAGAGAUGUUGUUGUUGAAUGUGAAUGUGUGUGUUAGAAUGAGAGGAGAAGGUGUUUAUAUAGGGAAGAAAAAGAAGAGUGAAAUGAUGAGUGGAAGAAAAAUAAUGAAAGUAGAUCUAAGUUCACUUGUAAAAUAUGGAAAAGAUAGAGAAAAGAUGAAAUGAAAGCAAAGCAUGAAGGUGCAGCAACA